This 433-nucleotide ribosomal RNA is filed under the name uncultured bacterium. Its description in RNAcentral is "partial 16S ribosomal RNA". It matches the Rfam family "Bacterial small subunit ribosomal RNA", at positions 29 to 507 of the family's 1533-position model. The record is from RNAcentral.
AACGAACGCUGGCGGCAUGCCUAACACAUGCAAGUCGAACGAGACCUUCGGGUCUAGUGGCGCAAGGGUGCGUAACGCGUGGGAACCUGCCCUUAGGUUCGGAAUAACUCCCCGAAAGGGGUGCUAAUACCGGAUAAUGUCUUCGGACCAAAGAUUUAUCGCCUUUGGAUGGGCCCGCGUUGGAUUAGCUAGUUGGUAGGGUAAAAGCCUACCAAGGCGACGAUCCAUAGCUGGUCUGAGAGGAUGAUCAGCCACACUGGGACUGAGACACGGCCCAGACUCCUACGGGAGGCAGCAGUGGGGAAUAUUGGACAAUGGGCGGAAGCCUGAUCCAGCAAUGCCGCGUGAGUGAUGAAGGCCUUAGGGUUGUAAAGCUCUUUUACCCGGGAUGAUAAUGACAGUACCGGGAGAAUAAGCUCCGGCUAACUCCGUG